RNAcentral lists this long non-coding RNA (3020 nucleotides) under Gossypium barbadense (sea-island cotton). RNAcentral's name for it is "long non-coding RNA (GBAR_LNC007670)". The record is from RNAcentral. Lineage: Eukaryota; Viridiplantae; Streptophyta; Magnoliopsida; Malvales; Malvaceae.
CUGGAUAAGUCUCAGCACACCGAAAGAUAGCCGGCACAAGGAAGACUGUAGCAAACAGAGGUUAGAUGAUAGCUGGCACGAGGCCAGUCGCUCUAGUGAGCACAAAGGCAAAAGGGCUUGAAAGGGUUAGGGCUCGAGCGAGAUGUACCUCACUCGAGAAUUGAGAUGACUUCAAGUUACAAGGUUGGAACUUCUUCCUAUGCAUUCAAUUUUGUCAUACCAAAAAAAUAGAACAUGCCACAUUGCAAUAAAAACAGGCUUAAAGAAGGCACAAGGCCAGUAGAAUCUAAACAUCCUACACUUCCAGUUAAAAGUUAAAAAAGGCUAUUUGAAUAAUAUAAAAUGUUAAGUGUAAUGAUAAGACAUGUUCUAUUCGAUACGAGUAGGAGAAACAAUAUUCUUAAAAGAAUAGAGAAAUCAGAACUAAGUGAACUUUAGAAAUAAUAUUAUUAGAAGAGACAGUCAUAAUGUUAAACAUAAACGCUGAAACGAACAUAAAAGAUAUAAAAAAUGAGCGAUUUGAUUUGACUUAAAAUUUUUAGUAACAAAUAAUUUUUUAUUGAUGGUUAAAAAUUUGAUAAUAAAGAGAUAAAAACAAAAGAUAAUAAACCGAUGAUAAUAUCUUUUAUGAGAAAGGGAAGAUUAAAUUUUAAAAUGUCUUAUGCCAAUUCGAAGUCUCUCAAACAUGUUACCAUCAAAUGACUUAGUGAAUAAGUCUAUUAGUUGCUUCUAUGUUGCACAUUCUUUAAUUCAACUACUUGCUUCUCAACUAAAUCUCUAAUAAAAUGAUGCUGAAUGUUAAUGAGUGUUUUAUUUUCGAAUGCAUAAGUUGUAGGUACAUCAUAAUCUACAAACAUUUGCUUUAUCCAAAUCGACGGAGUACAACAUCUUUUAGUUACUAUGUACUCAAUUUCAGUAGUGGAGAAAGAGAGAAUUUUGCUUUUUGUUUUACCAUGGGACUAAAUUGUACCCAAAAUAAAACCAUGCUCCAAAAGUGUUUUUUUCUAUCAUCUAAGUUCCUUGUCCAUUCACCAUCAAAAUAACCUACAAGGUUUAGAUUAAUAUCUUUAGUAAAUUAAAUACUCAAAUUUAAAGUACAAUUAACACAUCUAAUUACAUCUUUAAUUGUUUUCAAGUGUGAUUCUUUAGAGAAGCUUCAUAUCUUGCAUAUAUGUCAACAUUAUGGUAAAGGUCUAGUCUACUAGUUGCGAGAUAUAAAAUAUUGACAAUUAUACUUCAAUAAAUGGUUACAUAUGUUGCUUAAUCUUAUUCAUCUUUAAUAAAUUUUUCAUUCAAACUCAUAAGAGUACUCGAAAUUUUAAAUGUAUUCGGCUUAAACUUCUUCACUACCUCAAAAUAUAUCUCUUUUGAUUGAUAAAAGUCCUGUUGUUAAGUUAUUUAAUUUAAAAAAAAAAUAAGUUAACUGACUCACCAUGCUCUUCUCAAAUUCUGUGUCUAACAAAUUGAUCACAUGCCUUGGAUGUAAUGGAACCAAAUAUCAUAGAUCAUUGAAUCUUAACCCCGACAUGAAAUGGAGAGACUAUUGCUGAUGGAUGCUUUAGGUGUUACCUAUGCAUAGUUUGAGGAGUCGGUUUCCAUUCCUACCAAAAUAAAGAAGAAUGUAAGAGUUAAGAUACUACCAUUAGUAGCUUAGCCAUAGGCUUUUUUACCCCCCAAAAAAAAAUUACAAGUGAUAGUGACAAAUGUUAUAGUUGAGGAAGUUAAAACUUCGUAAAAAUGAUAAUCGAAAUAUACGUUUUUAGUAUAAUUAAUCACCAAUUAAUUAAAUUACAUCUUAUGAAAUCUUGAAAAUUUGAGGUUUUAGAUUUCAUUUCAUCCUUUAUUUGAUUCAACUUUGUAUUAAAUUAAGUUUUUUUAUGAGAAAUUAUGAAUAUUUAUUUUCCUGAAAUUUCUAUAAUUCAAGUCCAUUAAACAAGCCAAACUUGUAUGGUAAGCUUUUAAAUACCUAACCUAUGGUUUGGCCUUUAAAUUAAAGGUUUAAUUUAUAAUUUGGCCACUAAUAUUUAUAUAUAUAUUUUGUUAAAAUUGUUUUAAUUAUAUUAUUCAGUCUUUUUUUUGCCAUUAACUUUUAAUUUUUUUUUGAAAUUUUCUUUUCUAACAUAUUUAAUGAAUAAAUUCAAGGUUUCAAUAUUUCAUACGUUUUUACUAGGAGAUUUUUCUACUGACUUAAUUUUUUUAAAUAAUUGUGUUUAUUUUCUUUAAAUUAAGAAUUUUUUUUUAAUUUCAUGUAUUAUUUAUUUAUUUUUUUAAUUUCCACAUGUAAUUAUUUUAUAGAGUUAUUUAAAUAAUAAAUUACAUCCCACCACAUAUGAAAUUCUACAUCAUCCCCAUUAUUUUUUUUAAUGGUACUUUCAUUAAAUCUAUUAGAAAAAACAAUAAUUUGAAAAAAAAAUAAAGUUUGAUGACAAAAAAGGACACAAAAAUACAAUUAGGACCAUUUUGAUAAAACAUGUAAACUUUAAUGAUCAAAUUUGUCGUUAAAGCCUAAAUUAAAUAGCAUACAAAAUUGAAAUCCAUCUCUACGCCACUAAUUACCGUCUCAUUAAAGUCUAGUUCAGAUAAAUCCUUCCCAGUUUUUUAUAGAUCAUUUAUGUUAUUCUCAGCACUUAAAAACAGUAUUGAUUUCCAUUUUUCCUUGCUCGACAUUGACCACAAGGUUUAACCAGUAUGUUAUAUAGAUAGGUAUACUUAUAGUAGACAAGAAGUGAUGUUAUACGUUGAAAAUGCCUGCUUGUAUAAUGGUUUCACUAGAAUAUUGCAAUACAAAAAAUACUUCGAACAAGAACACCAAAGAUGUUUCUAUUACUUAGAAGUGUUGCAGCUAUGUAAUAUUGUAUCAUUUCAGUAUCUCAACUGUUUUGUACUAACAUAUAUAUAUUUAUAUAGCAUGUAAGAAUGAAAGAAUAAUCAAUGUUAGACCUAAACUUCAAUUGUUUUUUGAUUGAGAGCUUUGUAUCUCCAUUUCUCUUUCUCUAGAAAAUCAGCACCAAGGAACCUGG